GUGAAUCAUCAAAUUUUUGAACGCAAAUUGCACUCUCUUCGGAGAGUAUGCCUGUUUGAGGGUCAGCCUAAAAAAAAAAAUCGACAUAGUCGCUGUUUCGCGGUGACAUUCUUCGGAAAUUGUGUUAUUUUAAACAUUUAGGUUUUAAAUGGGUUAAAAUUUUUUUUAAGAUUCGACGAACGUUUGUAAGAUUUACUUUUUACACGUUUAAGGAAAUCACUC
This 222-nucleotide unclassified non-coding RNA is filed under the name Glomus sp. RNAcentral describes it as "partial contains 5.8S ribosomal RNA and internal transcribed spacer 2". The stretch from base 1 to 65 matches the Rfam family "5.8S ribosomal RNA", at positions 84 to 154 of the family's 154-position model. Lineage: Eukaryota; Fungi; Glomeromycota; Glomeromycetes; Glomerales; Glomeraceae. The record is from RNAcentral.